This 253-nucleotide ribosomal RNA is filed under the name uncultured bacterium. RNAcentral describes it as "partial 16S ribosomal RNA". It matches the Rfam family "Bacterial small subunit ribosomal RNA", at positions 524 to 776 of the family's 1533-position model. The record is from RNAcentral.
UACGUAGGUGACAAGCGUUAUCCGGAAUUAUUGGGCGUAAAGAGCUCGUAGGCGGUUUGUCGCGUCUGCCGUGAAAGUCCGGGGCUCAACUCCGGAUCUGCGGUGGGUACGGGCAGACUAGAGUGAUGUAGGGGAGACUGGAAUUCCUGGUGUAGCGGUGAAAUGCGCAGAUAUCAGGAGGAACACCGAUGGCGAAGGCAGGUCUCUGGGCAUUAACUGACGCUGAGGAGCGAAAGCGUGGGUAGCAAACAGG